RNAcentral lists this long non-coding RNA (1309 nucleotides) under Callithrix jacchus (white-tufted-ear marmoset). RNAcentral's name for it is "lncRNA (ENSCJAG00000080179.1)". The record is from RNAcentral. Lineage: Eukaryota; Metazoa; Chordata; Mammalia; Primates; Cebidae.
GUACCUGUAGCCAUUAGGGUAAAGAUAAGAUGGGUGUCAUUACAGUCCCCAAAAGAAGAAAAAUGCCAUUGAAAUGACAGAGUUUGACUGCUGACAUUCCCAAUUUCUGAGAAUUUUGGCAGGUGGGUGGGUGCAAUUUCCUCUACCCCUAGAAGAAGUCUGAUGACAAGAAAACGCUCAAAAAUGAAAGGGCAAGACAUUUUUUGGUAAGCAUUUUACUCACCUUUUCUCAGAUCCUUGAACAGGACAUCAAAUGGUGCAGGAUUUUUUGCUCCCUAGUGCAGCUAAACUUUAGGUUCUUGUCUCAUGACCAGGAAAAAUUAGGCACAGGGACACACUGAAAGGUGAGGAGAGCAGAAUUUAUUAAAAGAAAGCUCUCAGCAAAAAAGAGUGGGGUCCUGCCAACAGGCUCCCACCUCAGAGACUGAAUACGAGGCCACCACACAUGAGAUAAAGAGGCCAGGUUCCUCCACCCUGCAUAAGAUAUGACUUCCCAGUGGUUCUACCUCAUUCUCCCAGUGUGCAGGUGGGUCCGUAGUCUCAGGUACUCCACAUUGAUUUAUUUUUCUUAUUGCACAUGUGUUAAGGUAUGGAAUUUUUCACUGUAGCCAUGUUUAGGAAAGUCCCCAGUGCACAAUUACCUGGGAGGCAUUUAGCUGUCUCCUGUCUAUCCACAGCGAGCUGAAUGAACACGGGAGGAACUACCACUUAUAAAAUUAUCAGAUCUCAUGAGAACUCAACCACUAUUAUGAGAACCACAUGGCGUAAACCACCCUUAUGAUUCAAUUACCUCACCUGGUUUCUCCCUUGACAUGUUGAUAUUAUGGGGAUUGUAAUUCAAGAUGAGAUUUGGAAUGGGAAGAGAGUCAAACCAUAUCAGGAAUUACAAUGUUGAUGAUGAAAACAAUUAUUUCUCUCCUAGGAGGACACAAAUUCCACAUUUGGGAAAGGCACUAUACCUACAGUUGGAAGUUUUCAUAAAUUCUUUCUUGGAAGAGAUAGGAGAAUUAGGAUGAUCUCCUCUAGGGAAAUAAAUGGGAUAUGACUCUACACCUCUCUGAAAAGUCAUGAACUUGUUCUACUUUCAGUAUACUGGUAUGUAGAAUUAGUCAAAAUGUCACAUAUACGAUGCCUGAGUUAAGUAUGCAUUAAUUAAGUACUAUUUGUUUUUGAAAAUCAGCAUCAGGCGAUUGAAAGAAUGCUUGUUCUGGAGCCAGAGCAGGUUUAAGUUCUGCCUCUGCCACUACUGCAUAAGACUAUGGAAAACUAGUUUGUUUGGUUUCUUUUUUCGGGGUCUCAGUGUUAGCUU